UACGUAGGGGGCAAGCGUUAUCCGGAUUUACUGGGUGUAAAGGGAGCGUAGACGGCACGGCAAGCCAGAUGUGAAAGCCCGGGGCUCAACCCCGGGACUGCAUUUGUAACUGCUGAGCUAGAGUGUCGGAGAGGCAAGUGGAAUUCCUAGUGUAGCGGUGAAAUGCGUAGAUAUUAGGAGGAACACCAGUGGCGAAGGCGGCUUGCUGGACGAUGACUGACGUUGAGGCUCGAAAGCGUGGGGAGCAAACAGG
This 253-nucleotide ribosomal RNA is filed under the name Dorea longicatena. RNAcentral describes it as "partial 16S ribosomal RNA". It matches the Rfam family "Bacterial small subunit ribosomal RNA", at positions 524 to 776 of the family's 1533-position model. The record is from RNAcentral. Lineage: Bacteria; Bacillati; Bacillota; Clostridia; Lachnospirales; Lachnospiraceae.